RNAcentral lists this ribosomal RNA (253 nucleotides) under uncultured bacterium. RNAcentral describes it as "partial 16S ribosomal RNA". It matches the Rfam family "Bacterial small subunit ribosomal RNA", at positions 524 to 776 of the family's 1533-position model. The record is from RNAcentral.
UACAGAGGGUGCAAGCGUUAUCCGGAUUCACUGGGUUUAAAGGGUGCGUAGGUGGGUUUGUAAGUCAGUGGUGAAAUCUCCAAGCUUAACUUGGAAACUGCCGUUGAUACUAUAAAUCUUGAAUGUUGUGGAGGUGAGCGGAAUAUGUCAUGUAGCGGUGAAAUGCUUAGAUAUGACAUAGAACACCAAUUGCGAAGGCAGCUCACUACACAAAGAUUGACACUGAGGCACGAAAGCGUGGGGAUCAAACAGG